GCGGACCAGUGGUGGUCCACGGACCACAGUUUGAGAACCUCUGCACUAGAGAUUAUAUAGAGAUCUAGAUUUCCAACUUCAGGUGUUGUCACCUAGCUAAAUACAAUUUAAAGCAGAAAUAUGUUCACCUGAUUAUAUUAAAAUGUAUAUUAUGAAUUAUCAUGAUAGUAUUUCUUUAAACUCAAAAAAAAAAUAUCUUUAGGAUGCUUAAGGCCACAUUCUAAGAACUUCUUUACCACAUUCUAAUUAGAUUUUGUUUUUAAUUCUGAAAACCCCCCUCGUUUUUUGUUGUUGUUGGUUGGUUUGCUUUGUGUUGAUCAGGAAAUUCUGUGCCUUAAAAACUUCUGACAGCUGGGUCUUCCACUUUUCCUUUGAUGUUUGUCCUGGAAACCUUGACUGUAGAAAGUCGCAGCAUGUUUAAAUGCAUCAUACUAAUACAAGAGCAAGCAUUUUGACAGAAAGGAGUAUUCCUACAGCAACAGCUUUUCUCUUAUUCUUCAUAAUUAUCUCCAGUUCAGUUUAGGAUUAAACUUUAGAUUACUGAGUUUUGCAAAGGUGAAGAUCUGGCCCCAUGCCAUCUGAUGCAUUAAGAGUUCCAGUCUAUUCUUGGGAAUCCUUGCUCACUUGUUAGCCAUUCUGGAUGUCCCUAAACAUCCCUCAACUUUCCUUUUACUGAUUUUGAAAAAAAGAAGUGGAACAUUUAAGCAACUAGCUUGUUGAUAAAUAUGUAACAAAUCCUUAAAGAUGGUUCCGAUUAUUUGUAAAUCUCUGUUCUACAUACAUCAGAAACAGAAUACUUUUGAGUACAAGUUAAAAUUAUCCUCUAAAAUAAAUGUUUAAUAAAUUGUCUGUGUUAUGGCUGGGGCCAUGAAAAAUCCUUAUGAAAUGUGAUGAUAGUAUAAACACACCUACAAUUUAACUUUUUGAGUGGAGGUUUACUUUAAAAUCUUUAAAAGGAAAUAUACUUUUAAGAACAUCUGCAUCUUUUAUUAUGUCAAUUUCCUGUGCUAUUUAGAAAAGUUUGGCUAGUAUGAUUUUUUUAAUUUAACUUUCCAACUGUUUAUUGAAGUACAAGGAAGCCAACUGAGUUCUCCAGUGAGUCAGGAUUAGAUCUUGGGAUCGUCCUUGCUUUCCCUUUUUUCACUGGACACUGUGCUAGGUGUAAUAAUCCUGUAACAAACAACUACUGCCUUUAACUGAGAAACUGUUACCUUUAUGCCAUCUACCAUAGUAUCUCACUGGAAAAUCAGUGCAAAAUAGGAGUUUUUUUAGCAGACUGCUGCUAAAAUUUGGAGCAUUCAGAAAACGAAGUAUAAUAUGUCAAUGGAUAUUCUGUAUGGCUGUGCUUACUUUCUGCUUGCUUGCUUUCUGUUUUGUACAUCAACACGUUGCUGCCCUUGAACUGUUGAAUGAUAUGGCCUAGCAUGCAUUGUCCUGUUGGUGUGACACCACACCCUUUAGGGAGUGGGAAGAGCAAGAAUCUUUUUCUUCCCCUUCUUUUUGUGCCUCUCUCUACCCCCAGUGUAUGCUUUUUUUACAUUGUCUUUCCUAUCACUAUUGUUCUUGCAGUAAUGGUACAGUAUGAGUCUUCCUGAGGUUCACCUCAAACUCUGGUUGUAUAAUAUCACGUACAGGAGGUAAGAAGUCUGAAGUACAAUCUUUCUGUUAAACAAUAGAGAAGGAAAGAGGUGGACAGAGUAAUGGGAGAAAGGAAGGGAACAGGCUGAGUAAAUAAGAACUUUGAGCAUUGAAUCUGAAGAUAUUAAAUUGUUUUCCUCAGUGGCACUUGUGUCAUCGGAUGCGCCUUUCUCUACCUGUAAAUGUCUUCUCAAAAAAAAAAGAAAAAAGAAAAAAAGCCAAAAUAAGUGAUUUAAAAAGUUUUUAAAAACCACCAGAAUUUGAAAAUCCACUCUGUGUAAAUAAAUCCAUGAAAAUAACAUGAAUAUGAAUAUAGGGUCUCUCCCCUUUGUUUACCCUCUGCAAAUAUGUUUGCUUAAGAACAAUAAGAGUUAAUCGUCAAACUUUACAAUGCAGUCAGAGUUUCACAUUAAAUGUGUAACAGACUACCCAGAUGGCAAAUGCUGAUAUGUAAAUCUAAAACAUGAAAAUUUUCAUUGGGGGCCAGAUGGUGGCUUAAUGUGAAUUGUUUAACAUUUAUGUUUAUCUUAUUAAAACUGCCUUUAUAAGUCCAAACGAAGGUAGUUGUAUGGUUUGGAACAGACUGGAACAACAUAUCACUAAAUGAACAAAAGUCAGCGUGAGGUACCAUUUGCUGCAUAGGGCAUGGGAAAGAAAGCAACUUCGAAUAGUGGUUCUCCCUGCAUUUACAGAAAUGUAAAGAAAAUGCCAAAAAUCAUUGUUGUUCUGAUUUUCAAAGGUGCUAAGUAAUUACCCUGGAAGUAUAAAAUUCUUGGACUACAGCAUAUGAUGGGAUGUAGCACACUGAAUAGUUAUCCCUAGUAUUUUUCCUUUAGAAGAUAUUUUGGCAAUGUAAAAUUACAAUUUUUGAUGCUUUAGGUCCAAUCUUGAACCCUUGAAAUACAGAGGAGUUUUCCCCUUAAUGUUAAUGGGGGCAAGAUUGAGCCUUUAGCCUAAACAAGUUAAAUAUUUUUAAGUAAAAACAAGUGCAAUUAACAGACUAUUUACCCUAUGCUGAGAAGACCUUGCAUCCUUAGGUCAUGUCUCCUUUUAGCUAUUGCUAACAUAAUAAUUUCCUUAGCUGUGAUGCAAGAGCUUACGCAACCAAGGAAAGAAUAAGAAGCUACUUGUGAAGUAAAUCACAUGAUAAACCAUGAGAUCCCUUCCAGUAAAUACCCUUUAGGUUGAGGAAGUGAUAAGCAGGGCUCUGAAAUGCAGGAGUGACAGGUAUGGAUUUAAAUAAUUUAGAUGGUGUGUAGUAUUCUUAAUUUAGUUUGGACAUUAGUGUGCACCUCUUGUUCUUUUCUGCACUUUUACACGAAACGUCUUGGCUCUAACAUGUUUUAUAAAUGUGCAAAAAAUCUUUCAUCCAGACAGAUGUUAAAAUACUUAAUUUUUAAAGAAUAACUUGCACAAAAACAAAACACAUCAUUACUUUUUAUAAUAAAUGUAGUGUAACAAGUGAAUGUAUGACAAACGUAUACUUCUGUGUGUAAAGUUGAUGGAACACUUAACCUUUUGGAGGAAAAUGUGCGGAAAUGUGUGGAUUUAGAUUUUCUUUGCUUUAAAUUGUAAUGCAGUUUUCAACCCUUCCUAACCUGUCACCUGUAGGUUGUACCGAAUCACUGAGAAACAGAUUUUGAUUAUUUCAGGUGCUAUCCUGAUUGUGACCUGAGGCUUUGGAAUAAUGUCCAGAAUUUUGUACAAUUUUCUGAAAGGGACAAUGAUGUUAAAAUCAUUAGUUUAUAGGAUUAAAAUACAGAUAAGAGUAUUUAAAGGCAGCCUGGAUUUAAAUAAUUUGCACAGAUACUUCACAUCUAAAAUAACUUCUGUGGAAAAACCUGCCCCACUCCCUCCCUUUUUUUUU
Long non-coding RNA from Gavialis gangeticus (Gharial), 3505 nucleotides. RefSeq lists it as uncharacterized. The record is from RefSeq and is a predicted model, not a curated record. NCBI's taxonomy places the organism in Eukaryota, Metazoa, Chordata, Crocodylia, Gavialidae. The transcript has 2 exons.